Long non-coding RNA from Rhipicephalus sanguineus (brown dog tick), 244 nucleotides. RefSeq lists it as uncharacterized. NCBI's taxonomy places the organism in Eukaryota, Metazoa, Arthropoda, Arachnida, Ixodida, Ixodidae. The transcript is spliced from 3 exons. The record is from RefSeq and is a predicted model, not a curated record.
GCGGGUUGCAUCCGUUGUUACGUUGCCCGAAGACAGUAGUAAAUGUGAUUUGCAGGGUGCAAGCAACGUGUCAUUGUGGUUAGAAAAAAUGAAUCAGUAUACAUGUGAUUUAACUGUCAAAGCCGGAAUGUUUAAAGCAUACAUCCCGCCCAAGGCAUGCUGGGAUGAUCUCCUAUCAGGCAGCUUGGAAACUUCCAGACGCCGAUAUGCCUUACGUUCGGUGCAGCCGAGGUUAUGAACUGUC